GCACUGACCCCCCCAUUCAAAUAUUAUCUUGUCUCAGCGGGCGUCACAUACGUCAACGAGCAGACGGGUGAGUAACGCGUUGGAACGUACCUUUUGGUUCGGAACAACACAGGAAACUUGUGCUAAUACCUGGAUAAGCCCUUACGUGGGAAAGAUUUAUCGCCGAAAGAUCGUGCCCGCGUCUGAUUAGCUAGUUGGUGAUGGUAACUGGCUCACCAAGGCGACGAUCACGUAGCUGGUCUUGAUAAGAUGAUCAGCCACAUUGGGACUGAGACACGGCCCAAACUCCAUACGGGAGGCAGCCAUAUGGGGAAUAUUGGACAAGUGGGCGAAAGCCUGAUCCAGCCAUGCCGCGUGAGUGAUGAAGCCCUAGGGUUGUAAAGCUCUUUUGUGCGGGAAGAUAAUGACGGUACCGCAAGAAUAAGCCCCGGCUAACUUCGUGCCAGCAGCCGCGGUAAUACGAAGGGGGCUAGCGUUGCUCGGAAUCACUGGGCGUAAAGGGUGCGUAGGCGGGUCUUUAAGUCAGAGGUGAAAUCCUGGAGCUCAAGUCCAGAACUGCCUUUGAUACUGAGGAUCUUGAGUUCGGGAGAGGUGAGUGGAACUGCGAGUGUAGAGGUGACAAUUCGUAGAUAUUCGCGAAGAACACCAUGGCGAAGUGCGGCUCACUGGCCCGAUACUGACGCUGAGGGCACGAAAGCGUGGGGAGCAAACAGGAUUAGAUACCCAUGGUAAAUCCACGCCGUAACGAUGAAUUGCCAGACGAUAGGGAGUUUCACUCUUCAAUGGCGCAGGUAACAGCUUAAGCAUUCCGCCUGGGGA
This 819-nucleotide ribosomal RNA is filed under the name uncultured bacterium. RNAcentral's name for it is "bacterial SSU rRNA". It matches the Rfam family "Bacterial small subunit ribosomal RNA", at positions 57 to 879 of the family's 1533-position model. The record is from RNAcentral.